This 4632-nucleotide long non-coding RNA is filed under the name Homo sapiens (human). RNAcentral describes it as "HSALNT0192699". Lineage: Eukaryota; Metazoa; Chordata; Mammalia; Primates; Hominidae. The record is from RNAcentral.
GGAAAAAUGGAAUGAAGCCAAUUCACCAAUCAUCAAAAGAAAGUCACUGAAAACCAAUUUGUUGACCUAUGUAUUGUUGGUGUCAGAGGAAAAGGGGUCAAGGGAGGAAAGCUGAAAAGUGCUGGUGAGUGAGUGGAGAGUUAAAAGGAAGGUGAAUGAAACAACUCAUUUACUUUGAACUUCUUGAAAGACUAACCAGGAAGAUCCGGAUAAAGACACUGUCUGCACUCUACUCAGAUGCCCUUUGAGUCUAUGCGCUGUUUCUGGGCUCAUCCUCCAGCCUCAACGUGUUUGCUACAUUCGAACAGGGAAUUACUCCUCCCAAGAAUAUUCUUCCAAGGAAAUCCCUGAAAAACCAGAUGGCAGAAGUUACUCAGAAGAAAUGAAAGGAUUUUCCAUUAUUCAAAUAGGAGGUGGAAGAGGAAGUGUGGGAGUAAUUACUGGAUUAAGAUCACUGAAAGACAAGAUUGUCUUUAAGGAAACAGAAGACUGAGAAGAAAAGAAGCUUGCUCAAGGUCACAUAGAGCUGGAAUUUAAAUUCAGAUCUAUUAUACUCUUAAGGACUGUGGAAGGCAAAUGGAUUCCUGUUUCUUAGCUGAGCACAAGGUUGCCCAGUAAAAGAAUUACAUAUAUCCACCUAUUUUGCAUCUUUAUGGGCCAUAUGAAUAGUUCUGACAAAUUACAUAAACAAGAAAUAUUGAGUGGAGCCCCUGGUAAGUGCUACUCAAAAAAGGGGAACGUUUCUUUCUUACUCCCUUCAUUUAGUUGGUUGCUUGGAAUGUUGGUGUCAUGCUAAGGGGUCCAGCAAUCAUGGUAGGCCCUAGAAGAUGGAUACUACAUUCCUAACAUUACAAGGACCUUGAAGAAGUUAUACAUCUUUCCCCUAUUUUCUCCAUCCUCAGUGAAGGGGUUAGAUUGAAUAAGAAAGAAGAGGGCUCCAAUAGAAAUUUUGAAGUGUGUAUAAUGGUGAAAUAUUGAAGAAGAAAAUAAGAGCCUUUCUUCCAUUUUUCUGACCAAAUAAUGAUGGCACUUCCUGUCUUCUUUCACAGUGGGAAAGAUAAUAUAAACUAUUAAAAAUAUAUAAUUCUAGAUCUUACUCUGUAACCUAUUAUUAAAUUUUUGAAGGUAGCAUUUUCACUUUUCUCACCUGUAUGUUUCUCCAUGGUGUCUAGCAGAGGCCAUGUCAAAUUGCAGAAACUUAUCUAUUCUCCGUGACCAUGACUCCUGGCCAUAACUGAGUGGAUGGUGGAUAGGACACCCGAGCCAAGUUGGUGCAAUCAUAUUGGCUCUUUCAGGAUCUUGGAAUUGGGAUUUAGAGACCUGUGACUUAUAUGAGUAUACUCGGGAGUUAUAAGGCAAUGGCUGUCUUGUAUGUACAUAGGCAGAGACAACAGGUAUGGAGAGAGAGAAUGAUAAAGCAGCCAUAUAGAAGAAAGACAGACCGUGUGUUCCUUGAGAGAGAGAGUGUGUAAGAGAGAAAGGUAGAGGUAGGUUGGGAGAGAGUAACAGAGAGAGAGAGAAAGAGAGAGAGAAAAUGAUAAAAGAGUAGCUACUUGGAUUUUUGAUCUGUCUCCAGGCCUUCUGAGGCCUGCUUCCAUUUCCACAUACCAUCACUCAAGAUAAUCUCUGUGAUGAGUCUUUGUAACUUGCACACCAAAAAAAAAAAAAAAAAAAAAAAAAAAAGUCUUCAUGCAUGAUAAAUUAUUCCGUGCAGUUCCACAGAGAUCUUCUAAGGGAAAGAAAAUAUAAGUCCACUUAACCCAAUCUCAGAAUGGCCUUAUUUUAGUUUUGUGAUGGUUGCUAGUGGUCCAGAGUAUUUUUCAGGUUCCAAGGGAGACAUGGAGAUGUGGGACUAUUCAAACAGCUGGAACUUGAGGAUGUACUUGGGGCUAUAGUUAGAGGUGAUGAUAGAAGUGAAAAAAGUGAAUAAGAUGCUCAACUUUUAAUUUUACAAGCUCAAACACUCAAGAAACCAAAGCAUCGUGAAUGGAAAAGAAAAGAUAGGGUACAUUUCUAACUUUAAAAUAAUUAUAAUCUAGGUAGAGAAAAGUAAAAUAUACACAUAUGCACCCAGAACUAAAUGAGUGCUACAGAUUAUAAGCAUUAUAAGAUAUAAAGAAGAUAGCUAUUAUUGCUGGGCUAUUGUUUUCAGGUAUUAAUAACGUCAGGUUUGGUUUAGGCUAUAAAGGACAACUUUGCUCUCACAAUGGAAAAUGUAGUGACUUGAGGUCAGCUUUUCUACUGACUAGAUAUGUGACUGUGAUCAGUCACUUUACCUUUCCAAUUUCACAGCAGUUUCCUCCUCUGUAAAAUGAGGGCUGUGUAUUGGAUUCAUUAAUUCAUUCAAAACAUAAACUUUCAGUGCCCACUGUAAUGUAUAGAACUAGGAAUACUGCAUAAAUACCAGUCUUCUAAAAAGACUGUCACUCUGAUGUGUCUAUGAACAAAAGACAGUGGGAGGCAACUAAGCUGCCUACAGGUAAAGAAAAACUCCAUUGAGACCAUGUUUGGAUGAAUAGGAGUUGUUAGGUGAAUCCGAUAAUGAUGGAACCUUCCGGAGAAAGGGUUGCAUAGAUCAUUGCAAAUGUUUCUUGUAGCAUUAAUAUUUUUAUUUGCUUCUGCUUUGUUUAGAGGAGGAGGAAGGGAGUGAACAAAUGUUGGGUAGGAGUUAAGCGUAUGAAUUGAAGAGAAGAUAGAAGGAAAUAAUUUCCUGGGCUUCUUCAAACCCCUAAAAUGUAUUCAAAGUGAAUUCCAUGAAGGAAAAUACAUGAAAAAGCAGAUAAUUAAAACCUCCUUUGCCUCCUCUGUAUUUCUGUCUUGUAUAAGAUCUUAGAGAUACUGCAAAAAUGAUAUAAUAGGAUUCAUGUCCCUCAUAGACGUUUAGGACUCCCAUCCAGAGGCAGUGUGUGGAGUGCUUAAGAAUUUGAGUUUUGAAGACAGAUCACAUGCUAGCUAACACCACCACCUACUAGUUGUAAGAUCUUUAAAAAGUUUAAACUUUUUUGUGCCUUUGCCUUCUCAUCUGUAAAAUGGAGAUGAUAACAAUAGCUACUUCCUAUGGUGAGAAUUAAAUGUAUUAAACAUAUAAAGUGCCUAGAACCAGCACAUAAAAGCACACUGGCAUUUAAAAAUAAUAGCAUAUUAGUUAUUAUUACCUAUUAUUCCAUAGAGAGUUCACCACCGAGGUGAGGUAAUGGCAAUAUGCCUCCCUACAUUAGUGAGUAACCUGAGGGUGCUUCCCUGUGCCUGGUCUUCAAUAGGGAUGGCUUAGAAUUUGCUUAUUUAGUCAUGAUACAAAAGUAUGUCCAAUGAGGCCCUAUUUCAGGCACGGUGAACUAUAUGAAAGGAGAAAUAAAUAAACCGUGAAGUACAAUAUUCCAACACAAGGCAGUACAUUUUAAAUAUAAAACAAAUAUUUAGGAGCUCAGAGGAGGCAGAUGUGACAGCUGCCUGAAACAUCAGGGGACACUUCUUGGGUGGCAUGGGAAGUGUACAAUGACAGACAUCAUUUCAGGGAUUUAAGUCAGGAUUUGCCUCAGCUGGUUUGUGCACCCUCUUUGCAUUCACAAGCCUUUCUUUCGUCUCGCCUGAGCUUUUAGAGCAAAAUCUGAUCCAGAGACUGUGGAUGCUGGAGGAGCGUCAAGGCUGGGAAAGUAACAUGCACUGUGUUCGCAAUCAACAGAAAAGAUAUUUUUAAACAAAAACAAUUUUCCAAGUUUCCAGGAAGAGAAACAAAAGGCUUUUCUAAAAUGAAAGAAACUGUUCUUCUCAUUCUGUGACUUUUAUGUCACUUGGACAACAAGCCAGUGCUUAGGAACGGUUAUUUUCCUGUCGACAUCGCUGCAUGGAUACUUCUUAGAAGAACAUAACAGCAUUAGCACUCAGUCCCAGGUUCUGCUCACCCUCCAAUGGCAGUCGUCUUCAAAAACAAUAAAGAUAUCUGUGCUUGGUCUCUCUGUCUUGAUUACACUGCAGGCACAACCUGUGUGGGGAAACAAUAUCCUGGAUCAUACUGAAGGUUCGCACAGAUGGAACAUUAGUGGGAGGGGUUGCCAGCUACUUCCCUGCCAACUUGUUAGUGCUGGAGACAUUAUCCUCUUAUUUUGCCAGUUUAACAGAAGAUCAGUCGUAAAGAUUCACUGUAGGCUCAGCAACAUAAUUAUUAUCUAUGGUCUCUGCAUUAACUGUGAGAAAACAUCAUAGUCUGAAUCUGCCUAAUUUCAAAUGCCAAGCUGUGCCCACAUUCAGCCCACAACUGAACCUGAAUACUCAAUAUAUCCUUAGCAUUGCUACUGUUGUCAUCAUGGUGGAUGUUAAGUACAGGUUUGCCCAAGCUAUGAUGUUUAAUUGUUGCCUUACUGCUUCUGUAUUUCUUCUGUUUCCCUGACCCUUUUCAACACCAGCCCCAUGCAAUUUAAAACUAUUAAAAAGGUAAAAAUCGGUGUCACAUUUAGUUCUGCUACUCAGUACAGAAGUGCCAAGCCCCUGCAAAUCUGGAAAACAAACUCCUUAACAGAUGGGCCACAUAAAGUUUACAACAUGUGCAAUGUGGGAGGUAGUAUGGCUCUGGGCAAGAAACAGAAGACUGGAAGUUUGGGAGCUCAGGGUUUUUGAAUUUGCUUUUGCUUUUUG